RNAcentral lists this ribosomal RNA (463 nucleotides) under uncultured bacterium. Its description in RNAcentral is "partial 16S ribosomal RNA". It matches the Rfam family "Bacterial small subunit ribosomal RNA", at positions 338 to 795 of the family's 1533-position model. The record is from RNAcentral.
CCUACGGGAGGCUGCAGUAGGGAAUCUUCCACAAUGGGCGAAAGCCUGAUGGAGCAACGCCGCGUGGGUGAAGAAGGUCUUCGGAUCGUAAAACCCUGUUGUUAGAGAAGAAAGUGCGUGAGAGUAACUGUUCACGUUUCGACGGUAUCUAACCAGAAAGCCACGGCUAACUACGUGCCAGCAGCCGCGGUAAUACGUAGGAUGCGAGCGUUAUCCGGAUUUAUUGGGUUUAAAGGGUGCGUAGGCGGGCAUUUAAGCCGGCGGUCAAAUGUCGGGGCUCAACCCCGGCCGGCCGUGGGAACGGGGUGCCUUGGGUGGGCGAGAAGUAUGCGGAAUGCGUGGUGUAGCGGUGAAAGGCUUAGAUAUCACGAAGAACCCCGAUUGCGAAGGCAGCUUACUAAACUGUGACUGACAUUGAUGCUCGAAAGUGGGGGUAUCAAACAGGAUUAGAACCCCAGUAGUC